RNAcentral lists this small RNA (27 nucleotides) under Bombyx mori (domestic silkworm). RNAcentral's name for it is "ovarian small RNA-26125". The record is from RNAcentral. Lineage: Eukaryota; Metazoa; Arthropoda; Insecta; Lepidoptera; Bombycidae.
UCAUCGUCAUCGAAAGCCGGUGGUUGG